RNAcentral lists this small RNA (28 nucleotides) under Bombyx mori (domestic silkworm). Its description in RNAcentral is "ovarian small RNA-34046". The record is from RNAcentral. Lineage: Eukaryota; Metazoa; Arthropoda; Insecta; Lepidoptera; Bombycidae.
UGCUAAAAUCAAAACUGCGUCAGCCAGU